AAACGACAUCGAAAGCUUGCUUUUGAUGGGCGUCGACCGGCGCACGGGUGAGUAACGCGUAUCCAACCUGCCCACCACUUGGGGAUAACCUUGCGAAAGUAAGACUAAUACCCAAUGACGUCUCUAGAAGACAUCUGAAGGAGAUUAAAGAUUUAUCGGUGAUGGAUGGGGAUGCGUCUGAUUAGCUUGUUGGCGGGGUAACGGCCCACCAAGGCGACGAUCAGUAGGGGUUCUGAGAGGAAGGUCCCCCACAUUGGAACUGAGACACGGUCCAAACUCCUACGGGAGGCAGCAGUGAGGAAUAUUGGUCAAUGGACGAGAGUCUGAACCAGCCAAGUAGCGUGCAGGAUGACGGCCCUAUGGGUUGUAAACUGCUUUUAUAAGGGAAUAAAGUGAGAGUCGUGACUCUUUUUGCAUGUACCUUAUGAAUAAGGACCGGCUAAUUCCGUGCCAGCAGCCGCGGUAAUACGGAAGGUCCGGGCGUUAUCCGGAUUUAUUGGGUUUAAAGGGAGCGUAGGCCGGAGAUUAAGCGUGUUGUGAAAUGUAGAUGCUCAACAUCUGAACUGCAGCGCGAACUGGUUUCCUUGAGUACGCACAAAGUGGGCGGAAUUCGUGGUGUAGCGGUGAAAUGCUUAGAUAUCACGAAGAACUCCGAUUGCGAAGGCAGCUCACUGGAGCGCAACUGACGCUGAAGCUCGAAAGUGCGGGUAUCGAACAGGAUUAGAUACCCUGGUAGUCCGCACGGUAAACGAUGGAUGCCCGCUGUUGGUCUGAAUAGGUCAGCGGCCAAGCGAAAGCAUUAAGCAUCCCA
Molecule: ribosomal RNA, 811 nt
Filed under: uncultured bacterium
Lineage: Bacteria
Description: bacterial SSU rRNA
Rfam family: Bacterial small subunit ribosomal RNA
Source: RNAcentral